GUAGGGAAUAUUGCACAAUGGGCGAAAGUCUGAUGCAGCAACGCCGCGUGCGCGAUGAAGGCCUUCGGGUCGUAAAGCGCUUUUCUGAGGGAAGAGAAAGGACUGUACCUCAGGAAUAAGUCUCGGCUAACUACGUGCCAGCAGCCGCGGUAAUACGUAGGAGGCAAGCGUUAUCCGGAUUUACUGGGCGUAAAGCGCGUGCAGGUGGUUUGGUAAGUUGGAUGUGAAAUCUCCUGGCUCAACCGGGAGGAGUCGUUCAAAACUGCCAGACUCGAGGACGGUAGAGGAGAGUGGAAUUCCCGGUGUAGUGGUGAAAUGCGUAGAUAUCGGGAGGAACACCAGUGGCGAAAGCGGCUCUCUGGGCCGUUCCUGACACUCAGACGCGAAAGCGUGGGUAGCGAACGGGAUUAGAAACCCCAGUAGUCC
RNAcentral lists this ribosomal RNA (426 nucleotides) under uncultured bacterium. Its description in RNAcentral is "bacterial SSU rRNA". It matches the Rfam family "Bacterial small subunit ribosomal RNA", at positions 354 to 796 of the family's 1533-position model. The record is from RNAcentral.